This 425-nucleotide ribosomal RNA is filed under the name uncultured Spirosoma sp. RNAcentral's name for it is "bacterial SSU rRNA". It matches the Rfam family "Bacterial small subunit ribosomal RNA", at positions 354 to 776 of the family's 1533-position model. Lineage: Bacteria; Pseudomonadati; Bacteroidota; Cytophagia; Cytophagales; Cytophagaceae. The record is from RNAcentral.
GUAGGGAAUAUUGGGCAAUGGGCGCAAGCCUGACCCAGCCAUGCCGCGUGCAGGAUGAAGGCGCUCAGCGUUGUAAACUGCUUUUAUCUGGGAAGAACUGUAGGCCUGCGGGUUUGCUUGACGGUACCAGAGGAAUAAGCACCGGCUAACUCCGUGCCAGCAGCCGCGGUAAUACGGAGGGUGCAAGCGUUGUCCGGAUUUAUUGGGUUUAAAGGGUGCGUAGGUGGGCAAAUAAGUCUGGUUUGAAAGCUGGUGGCUUAACCAUCAGAUGUGGCUGGAAACUGUUUGUCUUGAAUGGGUUGGCGGUAGCCGGAACGGGUCAUGUAGCGGUGAAAUGCAUAGAUAUGACCCAGAACACCGAUUGCGAAGGCAGGCUACUACGACUUGAUUGACACUGAGGCACGAGAGCAUGGGUAGCGAACAGG